AUUGAACGCUGGCGGCAGGCUUAACACAUGCAAGUCGAGCGGGGUGAUGGUGCUUGCACUAUCACUUAGCGGCGGACGGGUGAGUAAUGCUUAGGAAUCUGCCUAUUAGUGGGGGACAACAUCUCGACAGGGAUGCUAAUAACGCAUACGUCCGACGGGAGAAAGCAGGGGAUCGCUUGUGCCCUUGCGCGAAGAGAUGAGCCUAAGUCGGAUUAGCUAGUUGGUGGGGUAAAGUCCUACCAAGGCGACGAUCUGUAGCGGGUCUGAGAGGAUGAUCCGCCACACUGGGACUGAGACACGGCCCAGACUCCUACGGGAGGCAGCAGUGGGGAAUAUUGGACAAUGGGGGGAACCCUGAUCCAGCCAUGCCGCGUGUGUGAAGAAGGCCUUAUGGUUGUAAAGCACCUUAAGCGAGGAGGAGGCUCUUUUGGUUAAUACCCAAGAUGAGUGGACGUUACUCGCAGAAUAAGCACCGGCUAACUCUGUGCCAGCCGCCGCGGUAA
RNAcentral lists this ribosomal RNA (503 nucleotides) under uncultured bacterium. Its description in RNAcentral is "partial 16S ribosomal RNA". It matches the Rfam family "Bacterial small subunit ribosomal RNA", at positions 30 to 523 of the family's 1533-position model. The record is from RNAcentral.